Molecule: ribosomal RNA, 468 nt
Filed under: uncultured bacterium
Lineage: Bacteria
Description: partial 16S ribosomal RNA
Rfam family: Bacterial small subunit ribosomal RNA
Source: RNAcentral
GAUGAACGCUGGCGGCGUGCUUAACACAUGCAAGUCGAACGGAAAGGCCAGUGCUUGCACUGGUACUCGAGUGGCGAACGGGUGAGUAACACGUGGGUGAUCUGCCCUGUACUUCGGGAUAAGCUUGGGAAACUGGGUCUAAUACCGGAUAGGACAACUUGUUGGAUAUUGUUGUGGAAAGCUUUUGCGGUAUGGGAUGAGCUCGCGGCCUAUCAGCUUGUUGGUGGGGUAAUGGCCUACCAAGGCGUCGACGGGUAGCCGGCCUGAGAGGGUGUACGGCCACAUUGGGGCAGAGAUACGGCCCAGACUCCUACGGGAGGCAGAAGUGGGGAAUAUUGCACAAUGGGCGCAAGCCUGAUGCAGCGAAGCCGCGUGGGGGAUGAAGGCCUUCGGGUUGUAAACUCCUCUCGCUAGGGACGAAGCUUUUUUGUGACGGUACCUGGAGAAGAAGCACCGGCUAACUACGUG